GCCUAAUACAUGCAAGUCGAACGCUUCUUUUUCCACCGGAGCUUGCUCCACCGGAAAAAGAGGAGUGGCGAACGGGUGAGUAACACGUGGGUAACCUGCCCAUCAGAAGGGGAUAACACUUGGAAACAGGUGCUAAUACCGUAUAACAAUCGAAACCGCAUGGUUUUGAUUUGAAAGGCGCUUUCGGGUGUCGCUGAUGGAUGGACCCGCGGUGCAUUAGCUAGUUGGUGAGGUAACGGCUCACCAAGGCGACGAUGCAUAGCCGACCUGAGAGGGUGAUCGGCCACAUUGGGACUGAGACACGGCCCAAACUCCUACGGGAGGCAGCAGUAGGGAAUCUUCGGCAAUGGACGAAAGUCUGACCGAGCAACGCCGCGUGAGUGAAGAAGGUUUUCGGAUCGUAAAACUCUGUUGUUAGAGAAGAAUANGGNNGAGAGUAACUGUUCAUCCCUUGACGGUAUCUAACCAGAAAGCCACGGCUAACUACGUGCCAGCAGCCGCGGUAAUACGUAGGUGGCAAGCGUUGUCCGGAUUUAUUGGGCGUAAAGCGAGCGCAGGCGGUUUUCUUAAGUCUGAUGUGAAAGCCCCCGGCUCAACCGGGGAGGGUCAUUGGAAACUGGGAGACUUGAGUGCAGAAGAGGAGAGUGGAAUUCCAUGUGUAGCGGUGAAAUGCGUAGAUAUAUGGAGGAACACCAGUGGCGAAAGGCGGCUCUCUGGUCUGUAACUGACGCUGAGGCUCGAAAGCGUGGGGAGCAAACAGGAUUAGAUACCCUGGUAGUCCACGCCGUAAACGAUGAGUGCUAAGUGUUGGAGGGUUUCCGCCCUUCAGUGCUGCAGCUAACGCAUUAAGCACUCCGCCUGGGGAGUACGACCGCAAGGUUGAAACUCAAAGGAAUUGACGGGGGCCCGCACAAGCGGUGGAGCAUGUGGUUUAAUUCGAAGCAACGCGAAGAACCUUACCAGGUCUUGACAUCCUUUGACCACUCUAGAGAUAGAGCUUCCCCUUCGGGGGCAAAGUGACAGGUGGUGCAUGGUUGUCGUCAGCUCGUGUCGUGAGAUGUUGGGUUAAGUCCCGCAACGAGCGCAACCCUUAUUGUUAGUUGCCAUCAUUUAGUUGGGCACUCUAGCAAGACUGCCGGUGACAAACCGGAGGAAGGUGGGGAUGACGUCAAAUCAUCAUGCCCCUUAUGACCUGGGCUACACACGUGCUACAAUGGGAAGUACAACGAGUCGCAAAGUCGCGAGGCUAAGCUAAUCUCUUAAAGCUUCUCUCAGUUCGGAUUGUAGGCUGCAACUCGCCUACAUGAAGCCGGAAUCGCUAGUAAUCGCGGAUCAGCACGCCGCGGUGAAUACGUUCCCGGGCCUUGUACACACCGCCCGUCACACCACGAGAGUUUGUAACACCCGAAGUCGGUGAGGUAACCUUUUGGAGCCAGCCGCCUAAGGNGG
This 1449-nucleotide ribosomal RNA is filed under the name bacterium 6/1/14. RNAcentral describes it as "16S ribosomal RNA". It matches the Rfam family "Bacterial small subunit ribosomal RNA". The record is from RNAcentral.